GUUAGCAAAAUUAAAUGCUGAUUGGAACUUUGAAAGUACUGCUCUUUGGACUGAAACCUGUGCUUCUCUCAAGACCCUAAAGAUCUUUUAAUUGCAAACAAAAUCUUUGUUUUGCAGUCCUCUCCAGCUGUGGGGGAAUGACUAGUAACCAACAUCAGACUGCCAUGCUGAUGGAUGUGGAGCAGGAAUAAGCCCCUCAGAUGUGUGUUUGUGGGCUAUUGGUGCAUGUCUGGGUGUGCUGCAAAGGAACAGCCUGAACACCAAGGGCCUUCAAUCACUUGAAAGGCUUGCCAAAAACUCUGACCUGCUGAUCACGGUGCCCCCGUGUUGCUCUGUGUCUUGUCUCGAGUGGCUGCUCUCCUUUCCCUGUUAAUCAUGUGUGCCAAGUUGAGAAGGAUGCCACACUGUGAGGAGUGGGAAGGCUGGCAGGAAAAUGUUCCAUGGCAGUUCUGGAUGGUCACUGCGGUCUGAAAGAGAUGCUGCAAUGCAAAAAAUGUUGCAGGAACUUGCAUUGAAUUCUCAGACUGUUUUUCUCAGAAAGAACCUUGACAGUGCAUCAACAACAGGACAACAGUAAUGUCUGAAAAACCCCAGAUACAGUGAUCUCCUGCUAAAAUACAAGAGAUUCUCAGUGUGGAAUCCAGAGCUACACUCAACCUGUCCAUUUCCACUUCACCUGACAUUAACAGAAAUAUCUUUUUGAUAUGGCUCAGAACUAGAGAUGAACUGUUGGGCUCUUGAUGCAACCGAGGCAAAGCGCGAUUUAUCUCUGAGGCCACAGCGAAGGCUCUGCUCCAGGGUAAGUUACUGAUUUCCUCCAGGACCUUUGCUAUCACAGUUUAUUACUAUCAAAUUUCUGUGGAUCUGUUAAUUAGCAUUACAAAAUUUCCUUUGGUUUUGGUUUUUACUUCUAGUUUUUAUAGGCAGAAAAUCCAAGUCAGUCACAUAGUUUGCUCCUGUUUGCAAACCUGCAAGUACCAA
Long non-coding RNA from Passer domesticus (house sparrow), 981 nucleotides. RefSeq lists it as uncharacterized. NCBI's taxonomy places the organism in Eukaryota, Metazoa, Chordata, Aves, Passeriformes, Passeridae. The record is from RefSeq and is a predicted model, not a curated record. The transcript is spliced from 5 exons.